CUGUGAGGUAUGCUGGAGGUAUCAGAAGUGCGAAUGCUGACAUAAGUAACGAUAAAGCGGGUGAAAAGCCCGCUCGCCGGAAGACCAAGGGUUCCUGUCCAACGUUAAUCGGGGCAGGGUGAGUCGACCCCUAAGGCGAGGCCGAAAGGCGUAGUCGAUGGGAAACAGGUUAAUAUUCCUGUACUUGGUGUUACUGCGAAGGGGGGACGGAGAAGGCUAUGUUGGCCGGGCGACGGUUGUCCCGGUUUAAGCGUGUAGGCUGGUUUUCCAGGCAAAUCCGGAAAAUCAAGGCUGAGGCGUGAUGACGAGGCACUACGGUGCUGAAGCAACAAAUGCCCUGCUUCCAGGAAAAGCCUCUAAGCAUCAGGUAACAUCAAAUCGUACCCCAAACCGACACAGGUGGUCAGGUAGAGAAUACCAAGGCGCUUGAGAGAACUCGGGUGAAGGAACUAGGCAAAAUGGUGCCGUAACUUCGGGAGAAGGCACGCUGAUAUGUAGGUGAAGCGACUUGCUCGUGGAGCUGAAAUCAGUCGAAGAUACCAGCUGGCUGCAACUGUUUAUUAAAAACACAGCACUGUGCAAACACGAAAGUGGACGUAUACGGUGUGACGCCUGCCCGGUGCCGGAA
This 628-nucleotide ribosomal RNA is filed under the name Escherichia coli. Its description in RNAcentral is "partial 23S ribosomal RNA". It matches the Rfam family "Bacterial large subunit ribosomal RNA", at positions 1261 to 1874 of the family's 2925-position model. The record is from RNAcentral. Lineage: Bacteria; Pseudomonadati; Pseudomonadota; Gammaproteobacteria; Enterobacterales; Enterobacteriaceae.